AUACAGAGGGUGCGAGCGUUAAUCGGAAUUACUGGGCGUAAAGCGCGCGUAGGCGGUCUAUUAAGUCAGAUGUGAGAUCCCAGGGCUCAACCUUGGAACUACAUCUGAUACUGGUAGACUAGAGUUUUGGAGAGGGAAGUAGAAUUUCAGGUGUAGCGGUGAAAUGCAUAGAGAUCUGAAGGAAUACCAGUGGCGAAGGCGACUUCCUGGCCAAAAACUGACGCUGAGGUGCGAAAGCGUGGGUAGCAAACGGGAUUAGAAACCCGAGUAGUCC
This 274-nucleotide ribosomal RNA is filed under the name uncultured bacterium. RNAcentral describes it as "partial 16S ribosomal RNA". It matches the Rfam family "Bacterial small subunit ribosomal RNA", at positions 523 to 796 of the family's 1533-position model. The record is from RNAcentral.